AAUACGAUAUGAUGACAAUGCCGCAUUUGUUAUUGAUAAAGAAGGAAAUCCAAAAGGAACUAGAAUUUUUGGUGUAAUCGCCGGAGAUCGGAAGACACA
Long non-coding RNA from Ipomoea nil (Japanese morning glory), 99 nucleotides. RefSeq lists it as uncharacterized. The transcript is spliced from 3 exons. The record is from RefSeq and is a predicted model, not a curated record. NCBI's taxonomy places the organism in Eukaryota, Viridiplantae, Streptophyta, Magnoliopsida, Solanales, Convolvulaceae.